This 383-nucleotide ribosomal RNA is filed under the name Proasellus walteri. Its description in RNAcentral is "partial 16S ribosomal RNA". It matches the Rfam family "Bacterial large subunit ribosomal RNA", at positions 1976 to 2597 of the family's 2925-position model. The record is from RNAcentral. Lineage: Eukaryota; Metazoa; Arthropoda; Malacostraca; Isopoda; Asellidae.
UUAAUUAGGAGCUGGAAUGAAAGAGGCGACGAAAUCUAGACUAUUUAAGUUUUAGUAUAAAUUGACAAGCGGGUCAAAAGGCCCGCAUGCACCAGGGGGACGAUAAGACCCUAUAAAACUUUACUCUCAGGCCGGUGGCUAGCAGGAAGUGGGGUGUUUGAGAGUUUAACUGGGGCGGUUAUUAUAGAAACAAUUAUACAUAAAAUAUAUUAUAUAGAUUGGUAGAACUCUCUAGAGAAAUAGAACAAGUUACUUUAGGGAUAACAGCGUGAUCCCCCCAGAGAGUCCUGAUUGGCGGGGGGGCUUACGACCUCGAUGUUGAAUUGGGAAUUCCUAUAUAAGCAAACAUAUAUAUAGACAGUCUGUUCGACUAUUAAACUCCC